UAAAAUAAUAUAUUUAUAAGGGUGCCAUUUUAUUAACAUAUAUAAUUUAACAAGUAUAGGCACGUGUAAAUAUAUACAAAUAUUUGUAUAUAUUUAUACAUACUUGUAUAUAUUUAUACAUACUUAUAUAUAUGUAUACAUACUUAUAUAUAUGUAUACAUACUUGUAUAUAUGUAUACAUACUUGUAUAUAUGUAUACAUACUUGUAUAUAUGUAUAUGUAUAUGUAUGUUAUAUGCACAAAUGUUACUAGUACAUGAACGUACAUUAAAAUUUCAUAAAUGAGUAUAUAAAAGAACUUACCAAUUUAUAAUAACAUAUACACAUAUAUGUACAUAGGUAUGUACGUAUAUGUGUAUAUACCCCAGAAAUGGACUAGUGUUAAAUACAAAAAUGCAUAUAGUACUAGUCUUGCUCAAAUGUUUUAUAAAACAAUAUUGUAGCCCAAAAUAUAUAAAAAGUCUUAAAAAUGUAUUUAUUGAUCAUUUAGGACGUUUUAUUAUUCAAGAGUUAGAAUUACAACAAUUCUCUUUUAACUGUAAAAAUCAGUCAGCACCCAUAAAGAAGUGCAAUGUAACUCGAAAAAAUGUAACUCGAAAAAAUGUAACUCGAAAAAAUGUAAACUCCAGGCGAAGAAAAAUAAAACAUAAAAAUACAUAUUCCCAAAAUAAUACAAAAGAAACCUUUGAUUAUAAAAAAUCUAACAGUUUUAAAAAUGACUCUAAAAAUAAUAUUGAUACAUAUUUAUCUUAUUUAAAUUUUUUAAAAAGUAAAAAAAAUGAAUUAUUAUUGAAUAUUCUUUUUUUUGAUAAAAUCGAAUUAUAUUUAAAUGAUACACAAAGUGGGAAUAGGUUUUAUAAUGGCAUAGCUAUUUAUAUUGAAAAUGUUUUUAUAAAUAUAAAAUUAAAAACUUCUUUUGAGAAAGAGGAAGGUAGUUCUAGCUUGGAAAGGCUUGAGCGUCGUCUGCCAUUAAAACUGUGUAUAGCAAAUAAUGAAAUAUUAUUAAAAAGGAAAUCUGUUAAACUUGCCACGGUUAGUGAUGUUGUCACGAUUGGUGAUGCUAGUACAAUUGUUAAUAAUUGUACCACGAAUAAUACAAUUUUACAAUAUAAUAAACAUAAUAAUAACAAUAAUAAUAAUAAUAAUAAUACUAAUAAUAAUGUUACUAAUACAAAAAAAAAUAAUAAUAAUAAUACUACUACUACUACUAAUAAUAAUAAUAAUAACGAUAAUAAUAUUAACAGUAAUAAUACUAAUAAUAAUAAUAAUAAUACAAAAAAAAAAAAUAAUAAUAAUAAUAAUAAAAAUAAUAAUAAUGUAGGUAUAGAAACAUACGACAUUAUACCGAGUAGCGAAAACAAUGAAAAUCAAACAGGCAUACAAGAACAACGUAAUAACACACUUUUAUUUUUAGUUUUUUUUGCAGUUUUUUAUUUUAAUUUUCUUAAAGAUAAAAUGUUAAAUAUAAUGCUUUUUUUUGCUAGUUAUAUUAGCCAGUUUUUUAAAAGCUCAGGUAUUUUUAAUUUUUUAAAAAAUUUAUUUUUUAAUAUGUUAUUUAAAUAUGCAUUAUGUAUAGACAUAAAAAAUGUUAAUAUUAUUUUUGAAGACACAUUAUAUUAUAGACAUAAAAAAAAUUGUUUUUUUUCAAUUUAUAUGAACAAUGUUCAUAUAGAUAAUAAAAAUUAUAUAAAAAGUAAAAAAAAAAGUAAACGUACGAAAGUAAAAUUGGGAAAUAUUAAUCGGUUUAACAGUUCUGACGACAGUUUAGAUGGUAGUACCGAUAAUAGUGGUAACAGUGACAGUGGUAAUAGUAAUAGUGAUAGUGGCAAUAAAAAACAAAGGAAAAACAAAAAUGAGUUUUUUGAAUUUGUUAAGAUGAAGGUAGGCGGUAUGAGCAUAUAUCAAGAUAAUCGUAAUGAAUUAAUAAGCAAAAGUAAUAUACAUUUAAACAAAAAAAAAUAUAAAUAUUUUUUUUUAUAUAAUAUAAAUAAUUUUCAUACAAAAAAAAACUGUUUACUUGAAAAAGUUCACUUAAAAUGUGUUAUAUUAAAACAUAUCAAAAAAAAAAAUUAUACUAUGAAUUUAAAUAUUUCUUCUGUUCAUUUUAAUUUUUAUCAUAAUAAAAUAUAUACUCUUUUAUUAUUUUCUUACAAAUAUUAUUAUCUAUUUUUUAUGAAUGACUUAAAUACGAAAAGUUGUACACAAAUUAGAAAGGAAGAACAAUGUAAGCAAAUGGAUAAAUAUUAUUUAAAGAAAAAUAAUACUUUACCAAUAAUAAAAAAAAAAAAAUGUAAAAAUAAAAAUGUAUGUUUUAUAUCAACCAGUACUACUUACCCCAUGAGAGAUGAUGAAAAGGUUCAAAACAGCGAGACCAUGCAGUUAAAAUUAGGGGAAAAAGUAGAUAAAUGUUCAAAUAAAUGUUCAAAUAAUUGUGUAGAUAACUAUGCAGAUAACUAUGCAGAUAACUAUGCAGAUAACUAUGCAGAUAGCUAUGCAAAUAACUAUGUAAAUAAUAUAACUAAAAAAAGUAAUAAAUAUACUACAACAGUUACCCCAAUUAUUUUAAACAAAAUACGAAAUAAGCAUGUAUAUUGCCGCACAAGUAGUAGUUUUAAAAUAAACGUACAUAUUGACUCAUUCGAAACUUGUUUUGUUUAUAACAACAAUGACUACACUGUUAUUUGUUUAAAAAAGUUAUACAUGUUCGCACAUAUACAAAAGAAUAAACUCGAGCAUAUAAAGGAGAAUCACUUCAGUCACCCUUUAUUUUUGUACACUUUUAAAGAGAAUGGAAAAAAAGAGAAUGGGGGAGAUAUAAAAUGGGACGAUCGAAAUAGGGUUGAAAAAAUAGCUGAUAAAGAAAUUGGAUCGAAAAAUGGAUCAAAAAAUGGAUCAAAAAAUGGAUCAAAA
Long non-coding RNA from Piliocolobus tephrosceles (Ugandan red Colobus), 2909 nucleotides. NCBI's taxonomy places the organism in Eukaryota, Metazoa, Chordata, Mammalia, Primates, Cercopithecidae. The record is from Ensembl.